UCCCUUAUAGCUCAGUGGUAGAGUACUUGACUUUUUAUCAAGAGGUCACAGGUUCAAAUCCUGUUAAGGGAG
RNAcentral lists this transfer RNA (72 nucleotides) under Nanobdellota archaeon. Its description in RNAcentral is "tRNA-Lys". It matches the Rfam family "tRNA". Rfam says of the family: Transfer RNA (tRNA) molecules are approximately 80 nucleotides in length. Their secondary structure includes four short double-helical elements and three loops (D, anti-codon, and T loops). The record is from RNAcentral. Lineage: Archaea; Nanobdellati; Nanobdellota.